This 253-nucleotide ribosomal RNA is filed under the name uncultured bacterium. RNAcentral's name for it is "partial 16S ribosomal RNA". It matches the Rfam family "Bacterial small subunit ribosomal RNA", at positions 524 to 776 of the family's 1533-position model. The record is from RNAcentral.
UACGUAGGUGGCGAGCGUUGUCCGGAUUUACUGGGCGUAAAGAGCGCGCAGGCGGUCGUACAAGUCGCGUGUGAAAGCCCCCGGCUCAACUGGGGAGGGUCACGCGAUACUGUUCGACUCGAAGGCAGGAGAGGGUAGUGGAAUUCCCGGUGUAGUGGUGAAAUGCGUAGAUAUCGGGAGGAACACCAGUGGCGAAGGCGACUCACUGGACAUGUAUUGACGCUGAGGUGCGAAAGCGUGGGGAGCAAACAGG